AAGCUCGUAGUUGAAUUUCGAAUGUGGCUGGGCGGUCCGCCUCACGGUGUGUACUGUCUGUCUGUGUUCUCUUUCUUGGUGAGCCGGCAUGCCCUUUACUGGGUGUGUUGGGGAACCAGGACGUUUACCUUGAGAAAAUUAGAGUGUUCAAAGCAGGCCUACGCCCGAAUACAUUAGCAUGGCAUAAUAAAAUAGGACGUGCGGUUCUAUUUUGUUGGUUUCUAGAGCCGCAGUAAUGAUUAAUAGGGAUAGUUGGG
Molecule: ribosomal RNA, 257 nt
Filed under: uncultured Basidiomycota
Lineage: Eukaryota; Fungi; Basidiomycota
Description: partial 18S ribosomal RNA
Rfam family: Eukaryotic small subunit ribosomal RNA
Source: RNAcentral